This 84-nucleotide microRNA precursor is filed under the name Otolemur garnettii (small-eared galago). RNAcentral's name for it is "microRNA 34b (ENSOGAG00000017834.1)". The stretch from base 7 to 77 matches the Rfam family "mir-34 microRNA precursor family". From Rfam's summary of the family: Human mir-34a was discovered computationally and later experimentally verified. The record is from RNAcentral. Lineage: Eukaryota; Metazoa; Chordata; Mammalia; Primates; Galagidae.
GUGCUCGGUUUGUAGGCAGUGUAAUUAGCUGAUUGUACUGUGCUGCUUACAAUCACUAACUCCACUGCCAUCAAAACAAGACAC